AACGUAGGUACCGAGCGUUAUCCGGAUUUACUGGGCGUAAAGCGCGUUCAGGCGGUUUGGCAAGUCGGGCAUGAAAUCUCUCGGCUCAACCGGGAGAGGUUGUCCGAUACUGCUGGACUUGAGGGCAGUAGAGGGUGGUGGAAUUCCGGGUGUAGUGGUGAAAUGCGUAGAUAUCGGGAGGAACACCUAUGGCGAAGGCAGCUCGCUGGGACGUUACUGACGCUGAGACGCGAAAGCGUGGGGAGCAAACAGG
RNAcentral lists this ribosomal RNA (253 nucleotides) under uncultured bacterium. RNAcentral describes it as "partial 16S ribosomal RNA". It matches the Rfam family "Bacterial small subunit ribosomal RNA", at positions 524 to 776 of the family's 1533-position model. The record is from RNAcentral.